CAAGAUUAAAACUCAAAGGAAUAGACGGGGACCCGCACAAGCGGUGGAGCAUGUGGUUUAAUUCGACGAUACGCGAAGAACCUUACCUGGCCUUGACAUAGAAAGAACUUACUAGAGAUAGUUUGGUGCUAGCUUGCUAGAACUUUCAUACAGGUGCUGCACGGCUGUCGUCAGCUCGUGUCGUGAGAUGUUGGGUUAAGUCCCGCAACGAGCGCAACCCUCGUGUUUAGUUACUAACAGUUCGGCUGAGGACUCUAGACAGACUGCCUGGGUAACCAGGAGGAAGGUGAGGACGACGUCAAGUCAUCAUGGCCCUUACGGCCAGGGCUACACACGUGCUACAAUGGGGUAUACAAAGAGCCGCAAUACCGCGAGGUGGAGCAAAUCUCAUAAAAUAUCUCCCAGUUCGGAUUGAAGUCUGCAACUCGACUUCAUGAAGUUGGAAUCGCUAGUAAUCGUGAAUCAGCAAUGUCACGGUGAAUACGUUCCCGGGUCUUGUACUCACCGCCC
This 510-nucleotide ribosomal RNA is filed under the name uncultured Campylobacterota bacterium. Its description in RNAcentral is "bacterial SSU rRNA". It matches the Rfam family "Bacterial small subunit ribosomal RNA", at positions 889 to 1395 of the family's 1533-position model. The record is from RNAcentral. Lineage: Bacteria; Pseudomonadati; Campylobacterota.